Molecule: transfer RNA, 73 nt
Filed under: Lactococcus garvieae
Lineage: Bacteria; Bacillati; Bacillota; Bacilli; Lactobacillales; Streptococcaceae
Description: tRNA_Thr_CGT
Rfam family: tRNA
About the family: Transfer RNA (tRNA) molecules are approximately 80 nucleotides in length. Their secondary structure includes four short double-helical elements and three loops (D, anti-codon, and T loops).
Source: RNAcentral
GCUCUCUUAGCUCAGUUGGUAGAGUACUUCAUUCGUAACGAAGGGGACACAAGUUCAAGUCUUGUAGGGAGUA